GACGAACGCUGGCGGCGUGCUUAACACAUGCCAGUCGAGCCGGAAGGCCUCUUCGGGGGUCCACGAGCGGCGAACGGGUGAGUAACACGUGGGUGACCGGCCCUCAUCUCUGGGAUAAGCCUGGGCAACUGGGUCUAAUACCGGAUAUGACCUUUCCUCGCCUUUGGCUUGGCGGAAAGUGUUUUGGGCUGGGGAUGGGCCCGCGGCCGAUCAGCCUGUUGGUGGGGUGAUGGCCUACCAAGGCGCCGACCGCUAGCCGGCGUGAGAGGGGGACCGGCCCCCCUGGGCAUGAGAGCCGGCCCCGGAUCCUACGGGAGGACGCAGUGGGGCAUAUUGCGAGAGGGGCGGAAGGCUGAGGCCGCGACGCCGCGUGGGGGAUGGCGGGCUUCGGGUUGUAAACGUCUUUCGACCCCGACGAAUUUGGACGGUAGGGGGAGAAGAAGCACCGGCCAACUACGUG
RNAcentral lists this ribosomal RNA (460 nucleotides) under uncultured bacterium. RNAcentral describes it as "partial 16S ribosomal RNA". It matches the Rfam family "Bacterial small subunit ribosomal RNA", at positions 28 to 507 of the family's 1533-position model. The record is from RNAcentral.